This 747-nucleotide long non-coding RNA is filed under the name Ornithorhynchus anatinus (platypus). RNAcentral's name for it is "lncRNA (ENSOANG00000050232.1)". Lineage: Eukaryota; Metazoa; Chordata; Mammalia; Monotremata; Ornithorhynchidae. The record is from RNAcentral.
GAGGGGGUUGGGGGGGUGUCACAGGCUGCAACAAGCCUCACAUUCUACCCCCUUCUUCUCUGCAGGGUCCCCAGGGUCAGGCAGGAGGUCUUGGCCAGCCGGGCCCAAACGGAGAGAAGGUGCAGACUCCUGUUCAGCUCCUGAACCACCUCCCCUCUGCUUCUCCCCCACCCCAACCUGCUCUCUCUGACCCUCCUACUCCCUCCAGUCCCUCCCGUCCCUUCUUGCAGUCAGUCACCAAGCUCCCCUGCCACCACCCACACCCCAUCCAUCUUCACGCAGGGUGACCCUGGAGCGGCCGGAGAGCCUGGCCCCCCUGGCAAGCCAGGACCCUCGGGUCCCCGAGGGGAACUGGGGGAGAAGGGUGAUGCUGGACAGCCUGGAGCUGCAGGACCUGCAGGCAGGAAGGGUCCCGGGGGCCAAGAUGGGGCAGAAGGAGAACGGGGUCCCAGAGGCUUCCGUGGAGACCCUGGCCCCCCUGGAGAUCCCGGCCCUCCUGUGAGUGUCCAUCCACCCUCCCAAGCCCUCAUCCCCCCCCCAGCUGCCCCGUUUCCCCCCACACCCUGACCCCAGGACCUUCCAAACUGCUCGCAAGGUUCCCUCAAACCCUCUGCUCUUCUCAGUCCCCAACCUAGUCUUCUCAGCUCCCAUCCUGCAGCUGGGCUUCAGGCCCUCUCCCAUCCCAAUGGGGUUUGUCUGUUGGCAGGGCGCUGAUGGCAGAGCUGGGGACAGGGGGUCCCGAGGAGA